GGCUCUGUAGUGAAGUUCAUGGUGAGUUGCAAGCUCAUUGAUGUGCAUUAAUAAUGCGCCGGGGCCU
This 67-nucleotide transfer RNA is filed under the name Lonchura nevermanni (Gray-crowned munia). Its description in RNAcentral is "tRNA-Cys". The record is from RNAcentral. Lineage: Eukaryota; Metazoa; Chordata; Aves; Passeriformes; Estrildidae.